AGCGAAAUGAGGAGACUGGAACAUCUGAAUGUUUUUAUGUGGAGAAAACACGUAUAGUCUUCAAAGUUCUCUGAUUGCU
RNAcentral lists this small nucleolar RNA (79 nucleotides) under Zea mays. RNAcentral describes it as "Small nucleolar RNA R160". It matches the Rfam family "Small nucleolar RNA R160". Rfam says of the family: snoR160 is a C/D box small nucleolar RNA, which acts as a methylation guide for 25S ribosomal RNA in plants. snoR160 has been alternatively named snoZ270 in rice. Lineage: Eukaryota; Viridiplantae; Streptophyta; Magnoliopsida; Poales; Poaceae. The record is from Rfam by way of RNAcentral.